This 253-nucleotide ribosomal RNA is filed under the name uncultured bacterium. RNAcentral describes it as "partial 16S ribosomal RNA". It matches the Rfam family "Bacterial small subunit ribosomal RNA", at positions 524 to 776 of the family's 1533-position model. The record is from RNAcentral.
UACGUAGGGUGCGAGCGUUGUCCGGAUUUAUUGGGCGUAAAGAGCUCGUAGGCGGUUUGUUGCGUCGGCCGUGAAAACCUGCAGCUUAACUGUGGGCUUGCGGUCGAUACGGGCAGACUUGAGUUCGGUAGGGGAGACUGGAAUUCCUGGUGUAGCGGUGAAAUGCGCAGAUAUCAGGAGGAACACCGGUGGCGAAGGCGGAUCUCUGGGCCUUACCUGACGCUGAGGAGCGAAAGCAUGGGGAGCAAACAGG